Molecule: long non-coding RNA, 475 nt
Organism: Chelonia mydas (Green sea turtle)
Lineage: Eukaryota; Metazoa; Chordata; Testudines; Cheloniidae
Exons: 2
Source: RefSeq, a predicted model, not a curated record
CACUCCUCCUCUAGGACAGCUCCAGCCGGCACAGGGUGAAAGAAGUCCUGCUUCAAGAAUCCUGAGCAAACCUGCCAUUUGUUAAAACCAGGUGACUGGGUCUACAUAAAGGUCCAUCAACAAAAGACUACUCUGGCCCCAUACUGGAAAGGCCCUUAAGUCCUGCUAACUACCAACACCGCUGUGAAGUGCCAAGGACUGACUGCCUGGACCCAUGCUUCUUACUGCAAAAAGACCCCUCCACCUUGAGAGGGCUUCACUUUGACUACUGAUCAGCCUGUCCCUCCUUCUGGGUUUUUUUCUUUCCUCCUUUUGGACAGCAGGGAAAAGGACAAGGUGAAGUGCUAGUAACCUCUCCCUUGUCCACUGACAGAGCUAACCUGCAUUCAGUAUUUGCUAAAGAAACCAAAGCACUACAGCGUGACGUGCUAGUAACCUCUCCCCUGUAUGAUGCAAAACCAUGACUGUUCCAAGA